UCCCAUUUUGCUCAGUUGGUAGAGCAUGGCACUUGCCAUGCCAGGGUUAUGGGUUCAAUUCCCACGGGGGAC
This 72-nucleotide transfer RNA is filed under the name Salmo salar (Atlantic salmon). It matches the Rfam family "tRNA". Rfam says of the family: Transfer RNA (tRNA) molecules are approximately 80 nucleotides in length. Lineage: Eukaryota; Metazoa; Chordata; Actinopteri; Salmoniformes; Salmonidae. The record is from Rfam by way of RNAcentral.